This 456-nucleotide long non-coding RNA is filed under the name Physcomitrium patens. RNAcentral describes it as "long non-coding RNA (PPAT_LNC014927)". Lineage: Eukaryota; Viridiplantae; Streptophyta; Bryopsida; Funariales; Funariaceae. The record is from RNAcentral.
GUGUGUAUUUGGUUGUAUACAUUCUUUUCACUUGUUUGUGUUGUUUCUUCUUUUGUUCUUGUUCAUUGCAUCUUCUACUUCACACUAACCAUUACAAGCAACUUUUAAUUGAGGCCAUCUUGUAAUUUGGGUAGAGGGGUGAAAUUUACACUCACAGUAUUGUAGGGACGUGGAGUUGAUUUGAUAGCGACAAGGACUAGACUUGGGUUAAGAGUUGAUGACUAUGAUACAUCGGUGGUAAUUUAUUAUGUUAUUAUCAGGUAGUAGUUGAUUUCUUAUGAUUAUUAAAAAAAAAGUUUAAGAGAGUUCUUGUGUGUAUUUUUUGGUGUGAUAAUAAGCGAGUGUGGUGUUGUGAUCAAUGUUUUAGUAUAGUCAUUUCUUUGUUGAAGAAUGUGAUGCAUAUAAAAACUUUCAUGAGCUGAUUGUUAGAUAGUUUAAAUAAUUAAUAAAUUAAUU